GACGAACGCUGGCGGCGUGCUUAACACAUGCAAGUCGAGCGGUAAGGCCCUUUCGGGGGUACACGAGCGGCGAACGGGUGAGUAACACGUGGGUGACCUGCCCUCAGCUCUGGGAUAAGCCCGGGAAACUGGGUCUAAUACCGGAUAUGACUCCAUGACGCAUGUUGUGGGGUGGAAAGCCUUGUGCGGCUGAGGAUGGGCCCGCGGCCUAUCAGCUUGUUGGUGGGGUNAUGGCCACCAAGGCGACGACGGGUAGCCGGCCUGAGAGGGCGACCGGCCACACUGGGACUGAGAUACGGCCCAGACUCCUACGGGAGGCAGCAGUGGGGAAUCUUGCGCAAUGGGCGAAAGCCUGACGCAGCGACGCCGCGUGAGGGA
Molecule: ribosomal RNA, 378 nt
Filed under: uncultured bacterium
Lineage: Bacteria
Description: bacterial SSU rRNA
Rfam family: Bacterial small subunit ribosomal RNA
Source: RNAcentral